Acanthosepion pharaonis is the source of this 90-nucleotide non-coding RNA. The record is from the annotation of a GenBank genome assembly. NCBI's taxonomy places the organism in Eukaryota, Metazoa, Mollusca, Cephalopoda, Sepiida, Sepiidae.
GCCAGAUCACAUGCGAUCACCGAAGUUAAGCAACGUCGAACCUGGUCAGUGACUAGAUGGGUGACCUUUUGGGAAGGCUAGGUGGUGUAA